Caretta caretta (loggerhead turtle) is the source of this 5557-nucleotide non-coding RNA. NCBI's taxonomy places the organism in Eukaryota, Metazoa, Chordata, Testudines, Cheloniidae. The record is from RefSeq and is a predicted model, not a curated record.
GUGGCGCGUCCAGGCCCGGCCCCGCGGCGAGGAGAGCGGCUCGCUCGGCUCCCUCCGCCUCCCGGGAAAGGCCCGGCCCCGCGAUAAGAGCUGCUGCUGGUGCCUCACGCCUUCCUUCCCCUCGGGCCAGCCCGGCUCCUGGGCCUCGCUGUCUCCGCGCUUAACCCCGGCGGGAGGCCAGGGCGCUGCGGCAGCAGGGAGCCGGGCCUGCGACAGGCAGCGGCCUCCCCCGCGGGAGAGAGCUGGAGGGGAACGGGAGCCCUGGAGACAGCGGGGCCCUAAUUAGUGAUCCCCUAACGUGAGGGGGCAGCAGCUCGGUCACACACACUGCACAGGAGGGGGCGGAUAUGGGGUCUGAUACUCCCCUGGGGCGGAGGGAGCAGCUCCCUUAAACACCCGCUCCCUGGUAGAGAAUGGGGCGGGGAGGGGUAUUAGGAUUGUUACCUUUCCACCCACUUCCCUUUCCCAAGGAGACAGGGGCGCAGCAGCUCUGUUACAGACACACACACACAUAUAGGGGGUAGCCGGGCAGCAGCUGUGAGGGCUCCUGCUCUAUGCUAGAAAAUUAGAUGGACCCAGCUACAUCACGAGGGGGUGUGAAAAAUCCACACCCCUGAGUGACAGCUAAGCUGAUCUAAGUCCCUGUGUAGACAACACUAGUGAGAUAGAAGAAUUUUUCUGUCCUCCUAGCUGCGGCCUCUCAGGGAGGUGGAUUAUCUAUGCCAAUGGGAAAACCCCUUUUAUUGGCAUAGGUAUGUCUACACUGAGGGCAUGUCUGCACUACAAAAUUAAGUCAACCUAACUUAUGGCGGCAUACAGCUGUGACAGUAAUUACAUCACUUUGCUCCUUGUGUUGGUGGUGCGCAUCCUCACCAGGAGCACUUGUACAGAUUGUACUGUCACUGCGAGGAAUUUUGGGACAGCUUGUGAAAGCCAGUAACAGUCAAUGUAAGCAACGCAGUGUGUACACCGACACUGCUUUGAUAUAACUACAUCAAUAUUGACUCUACACCUCACAUGGAGGUCAUAAACAAAAGUGAAAUGUUGUUGGUUGCAGUGUUGUAGCCAUGUUGGUCCCAGGAUAUGACAGAGACAAGGUAGGUGAGGUAAUAUCUUUUUAUUGGAUUAACUUCUGUUGGGGGAAGGUACAAGCUUUCAAGCUAUACCGAGCUCUUCAGUUCUGGGGAAGGAAGCAGUAUCAUUGUUGGCUGCCAGACUUAAAAACCAUUUGUUAACCAAAGCCAACAAAGUCAAGGCAUGUCUACACUACAAAAUUAUGUCAACCAGAGUUACGUCGGCAUACAGCCAUUGCAAUAAUUAAAUCGCUUUUGCAUAUCCGCACUAUGCUCCUUGUGUCAGCAGUGCGCGUCCUCACCAGGAGCACUUGUACCAACUGUACUGUCAGUGUGGGGCAUCUUGGGGCAGCUCCUGAAAGCCAGUAACAGUUGAUGUAAGUAACGAAGUGUCUGCACUGACACUGUGUCAACCUAACUACAUUGGCAUUGACUCUAUGCCUCUCUUGGAGGUGGAGUUAUUAAGUCAGCCUAGCGGGGCAGUUAUGUCGCGGGGAGCGAAAUGUUAGCUGACACUUAGGUCUGGUCUACACUACAAAGCCAUAUUGGUAUAACUAUGUUGCUUGGGUGUGUGAAAAAUCCUCACCCCUGAGUAACUUAAUUUUACUGACCUAACCACCCAUGUAGGCAGCGCUGUCGGCAGGAUAGCUUCUCCCAUCGACAUAACUGCUGCCUCUCAGGGAGGUGGAUUAACUACACCUAUGGGAGAGCUCUCUCCUGUCAGUUUAGAGCAUCUUCAUUAAAGUGUUUCAGCAGCGCAGCUGCAUGAACGCAGCUGUGCCAAUAAGUGUUUUAAGUGCAGACUUGCCCUUACGUAGUUAGGUCGACGUAAGCUGCCUUGCAGUGAGUGACCUUGUAGUGUAGAUCAGGCGUCAGUUAACAGAUGUAGUUUAGAGGGGGCCGUUUCACUUUCCUGUCUGCAGAUUAUCCCAGCAGCUGUCAGGAAAAAACAAAUAGUUCAUUUGCUUAUAAUGUGUUAAACUUUAUUCACACUUAGAAGAAAACAUUCAGCAAAAGAAUUUUCUCAUUAUAAAUAUUGUCUACUAAAUUUUACCGUCUCUCCAAAACACAAGUUUUUGGAGCAUGUCAGAAGUGUGUGUUAGUGACCUUUAUUCUUGAGAUCCCCUCUCUCACUGAAAGUUGAACUAAAAUAUACAUAAGGCCCCCACCCAGAUGCCCAUGGUUUUCAGUGGAUCUGUAUUUUCCACAAUGGAAUUGGUAAAAGUGUUUUUUCCUUCUCCCCAAAUGUCAUCAUAGAAGAAGGUAUGAUCCCACCAUCUUAGUAGUAUUAAAAAAACCCAGCAUAUACAUAUUUGUCUAUUACUUCUCUUCAGUGUCUGACUUAGUGUAAAGUAAGUCAAAUCAUCAGGCCAAAUGUCAAGAUAAUGGAACUCUGUCCAUUGUAAAAAAUAAUAGGACCUACAAUAAAAAAUAAAAUGAAAGAUUUUACAAGAAAUAUUAUGCUGCAGAUACACUGUAUAAAGAAAAAGAGGUCAGCAAAACAAGACCUGUAAAAUAAUAUCGGUUAUAGAAAAUUAGGACUGUAGACAGAUUAUAUUAUUUCUCAAGGGAAAAAGGAAGGCUGAGGGUGCAGACAAAUUUAUUUUCCAAAGGAGAGAAAAUAUUAGAAAUGUUCAAGCUCACACAAAAGGAGGUGAUAAUGGCAUUUCAAAGAAUGGUUGGUUAGACACAGACUAGAUCUGGGAACCACCCCAGAAUUGUGGCAGUGGGCAUAAAGAAGGUAUGGGAACCUUAAGAAGAAUCAUAUGUCUGUGAUUAUUGUCUUGCUCAUGGUCUUCGGAGAGCUGCUUGGUCGUACAUUCACUAGUCAAAACGUUCUGGACAUCAUAAAGGAACCCCAACCCAAGAUUUGUGAAUCCGACCCGUGUCCUUCCUGGUCUGUGAGAGUCAUGAACAACUGGUGUGACUGUGACUCCUAACGAAAAUAGCCAAUGCCUUGUUCAGAGAGGAAUCUUCCCUUUCACAUUUAAACACGCAAUAGUUCAAUCAACACUGAACAAACCUACCCUGGAUACUUCAGUCCUAGCCAACUGUUGCUAUGAUGUGGCUUACUUCAUAUACUAAAGGCACUGAUUUUUGCUAAGAAGUAUUCAGGAGCCAAUAGUGGGGUAGAGGAUGGGUUGCCAUCCAACUAUCAACUUAAAAAACUUCUUUAUAAAGCAAAGGGUUCAAGAUCAGACCGAACAUUUCAGCAAAGACCAGAGCAAGUAGUUAGUCUACACUGGCAACAGCAAAAAAGAGAAGACUGGGAUUAAUAAUGUAUUUAUAUUUUCUGUUACAUUUCUCACCCUAUUUUUAUAAUUUUGAUAUCAAUAAAUAUUUGUGCUGGUUAUGGGCAAUCAUCUUCCAAGGUUCUGUACUCUGGCGUCCCUUCUGCUGAAUGUCAAAAUAAAUGCAGAGAAAUUCUAAAGUGGUGGAAACUUCAUAGACUUCUUUGUGCCCAUGAAUUGCAUAUAAUCGUGCAAACAUCUGUAAACAUAUUCAGUUGCUAGUCUAUCCCAAAAUCAACAUUGAAGCAUGCAGCAUUCACAUCUUCUGAAUGCGAGAUGCAGUUUAGUAGCCUUUUAAGACAGCAUUCUAAUCUUGCUGUGACUAACUUCAGAGACCAGCAAAUCAACAUACAAGACUGGGAGCAUACAACUCACAGAAAGCUUCUUUGUGUGGUCUCUCAGAAUUUUAUCAUUAUUUUAUGCCAGAAGCCUAAAUGCUGAUUUGGGGGCAUGUGAUCACCCAGUAAUACUCUUGGAUCCCUUGGUGAUGUUGAGCUCUCACAUCACAGCAGCCAGAAGUAACGCUUUCUACCAUCUCCUCCUGUUGGCUAGAAGACACCAUUGCAUCCUGGCAGACAAAGACUUGGCCUCAGUUAUUCAUGCCUUCAUCACCUCUCGGCUGGUCUACUGCAAUGCAAUACUGUGACCCAGGGAUCCCUUGGUGCCAACUGGCAGAGGGCACAGGGGAUGCACAAAGUUUUACAGGAUCCCCUGGGUUGGAUAUCUGCAUAAUAGUUCAUGUAAAGGCGGCUUGUGAAAUCUCUACCUAGAGCCAGUAGCCCUCUGGUCAUCAUAGUCAUUGGAAAAUGUAUGGAGUUGUGUAUCUAUAUUUAAGGAGUUGUGUAUCUAUACUGAAAAUUAUGCUCUUAAAGUGUUGGAGUUAAGGCAGGUCACCAGGAGGUGACAUCUCUUAGAGAUAUUCCCCUCAAGCAGGAGGUAACUGACACCUGUUUCCCUUUCUGGCCAUUUGUCAACUGUAUGCCUCACACUUUGUGUCUAUUUGUAUGCUGAGCAGGUGCCAAUUGAGACAUUGUGAAAUCUCCAAGAAAGGAAAUCUACAGGGUGAAACAAAUAGCAAGGGGGUGUCUUCUUUAUGAAUAAAGACAAAGGAUUGGUCUGGUGUAUCUUGGAGUGCAAAGAAAUUGUCAGGACCCUCGCUACAGGGCCUGGGUCAAGCCUGGGGCCUGGAUUUGUGGGGACAUUGUCCCAGUUCAGUCUAGAGGGUCUAAGCCCAAACCAGCAGUCUGUAUUAGUGUCAAGCCAUAUGAUCAGGUUGGAGUCAAGUCAAGCCACACCAGAUCAGAGCCAUGUGAGUCAGCCAAAGUAGGAUUAGUGAAACAGAGGCAGGGUGAGAAUGCAGGAGCAGAGGACUAGGAACCAGAAGCCAGAUUAGGUAUCAGAAGCAGGAUUGGGGCCAGAAACCAGGAGCAAUACAAUGUAUCAGGAGUGAAUUGGAUGCCUCCAGAUGUUCCUCUCUUAGGCUUUAAAUAACAUGCUUCAGCCAACUAGUGAAUGCAAUAGGCUCUCCCAGUCAGCAUCUCUGUAGUUCAGUGGUGCUUGGUCCCACAGGACUCACAGUCAGUCAGUUGCUGCUCUGUCAAAGUUGUUGGGUGGUGGUGUGGAUACAGCAGAUGCUCAGGGACUAUCUGACCUAGGCCCUAGCCCUGUGGAUCGUCACAGAGACAUCCCUUGUUUUUGAAGUCCAGGCUGUAGAUUCUGAGUUACGAUUUUAUUUUUUAUGUAACCAUUUGUUUCCAAUGUAUUUUUUUACCAUGCUCAGGCAAUAAUGUUCUCUGUUUCCCUCUUUUCAAGGGCCUUCCACCUCCACAGGAUAAAUCAUGGCACCUGAAGCCUGGGUGCCUGAACCACCUUACUGUGGGGAAGAGAAAGAGAGUCUAGGAUGAGCUAAUGGGAGACCUGCUUGAUUAAACAAAUUCCAGGUUCCAACUCAACCACCAAAAGGAUAAGGAUAUUUGCAGGGAAGAAAGACACAGAGGCUGCACAGCAUGAGGAGAGACUGGCAGAUACAUUCUUGGAGAGAGUCAGGCAUGGGCAGCUCUCCUGACAAUGCUAUAGUCAGAGCUACAGGGACACCUCCACCAGAACUGCCAAAGAACCAGAAAUCUGCUCUUAGACCUUUCACAACAACGGCUGAUGGCUGGUGAAGCACUGUACACUUUGUAUUCUGUUGUA